GACGAACGCUGGCGGCGUGCUUAACACAUGCAAGUCGAACGGAAAGGCCCUGCUUUUGUGGGGUGCUCGAUUGCCGAACGGGUGAGUAACACGUGUGUAACCUGCCCUUGACUUUGGGAUAACUUCAGGAAACUGGGGCUAAUACCGGAUAGGAGCUCCUGCUGCAUGGUGGGGGUUGGAAAGUUUCGGCCGUUGGGGAUGGACUCGCGGCUUAGUCGCUUGUUGGGGGGGUAGUGGCUUACCAAGGGUUUGACGGGUAGCCGGCCUGAGAGGGUGACCGGCCACAUUGGGCCUGAGAGACGGACCAGACUGCUACGGGAGGCAGCAGUGGGGAAUCUUGCACAAUGGGCGGACGCCUGAUGCAGCAACGCCGCGUGCGGGAAGACGGCUUUCGGGUUGUAAACCGCUUUCGCCUGUGACGAAGCGUGAGUGACGGUAAUGGGUAAAGAAGCACCGGCUAACUACGUG
This 468-nucleotide ribosomal RNA is filed under the name uncultured bacterium. Its description in RNAcentral is "partial 16S ribosomal RNA". It matches the Rfam family "Bacterial small subunit ribosomal RNA", at positions 28 to 507 of the family's 1533-position model. The record is from RNAcentral.